AACCAGGUGGAGGAGGUUCUUUGUUCCGAAAGCUUCCACCCGGUUUUCAAUUUGCCACGGUCAAGAUGGUGGCAGCUCCCCUCCUUCGGAAGAAGACACGAUCUUUCUACAUUUCCCACGGACAGCGGCGGUAGCCUCCCUCCUCCGGAAGGAGAUGUGAUUUUAUCCUAUUUCCCACAGACAGAGUAGUGGUAACGUUCCUCCUUAGGAGGGUGAUGUGACUUUUCUGUAUUUCCCACAGACGGAGCGUUGGCAGCCUCCCUCCCCUGAAGGGAGACACGACUUUUCCGUAUUUCCACUCUAGGCCCGCAACCUUCCGUUCCUUCCCGGCCCGGCCUUUAACACCGGAGAAGAGCAACGGGGCGGAUUUAACUUUUCCCACCUAAAUCCCGGCUCUAGGUCGUCGCCGUGAGUCAGCGGUCCGCACGUCCGCACGUCGUAUCCGUGAAAACGAAGCUGGGUCGGAGGUCCGAUUACGUAGGUGCCGCUUGGGACCGCCGGUUCACGUUUCAAGGGCCAAAUCGCGAAAAUGAUCCUCAAAGUUGAUCUGCCUUUCGUGAGCGCUUUCGUGUUCGAGGGGAAGGAAACGCAAGGGCCCGGGACGGACGAUAGAAAACCUUUUAAUGACACAACCGCGAUGCUCGGAAACCGACGAGACGAGCCUUUAACAGACACGCCGUCUGUCUUUUCGCUACUGCAGAACCACACGCCGCCCUAUACAAAGACUGCCGCGCCCGGCGAGACGCCGACACGGUUCGGUGGAAGCCGAUUUUUUCGUCUGCCCGUGGCAACGUAAUACAGUCGCUUUCCUCGA
This is a long non-coding RNA of Ornithorhynchus anatinus (platypus), 814 nucleotides long. RefSeq lists it as uncharacterized. The record is from RefSeq and is a predicted model, not a curated record. Lineage: Eukaryota; Metazoa; Chordata; Mammalia; Monotremata; Ornithorhynchidae. The transcript has 2 exons.